UCCGUAGGUGAACCUGCGGCAAGGAUCAUUCGCGCGAAAUGUUUUCCGUUAAUCGUUUGCGGGAGUGGGCGCUGGUUUAACUGCCAUUUCCACUCUCCGUUUUUACGGUACCAAAUAUUCAACCUUGGAUGCUUGCAUCCUCUGGCAAUCCUUGAUUGCUAAACUUUAGUAUUCUUUGCAGCGGUGAAUGUCUUGGCUCGAGUAGUGAUGAAGGACGUAGCGAACUGCGAUACGCAUUGUGAAUUGCGGAAUUCAGUGAAUCAACAGAAAGUUGAAAGCAUGCGGUACCUUCACCUCGGUGAAGGUUUCCCUGGAUCGGUGUUUUAGUUUCUUGUACGUUGUUCGGUUACCCCGGGCGAUGGUGAGCUGCGUGCUAACUUCUCAUCAGUUGGCAUGUGAAUUCAUGUUUACCGACUUCGCAGCCCAUUGCGAUUUGGAUUAUUCUGUUUUGCAGAGGGCUAGUGAGUAGGUGACAAUUUGAUGUCAUGUGUACCAUGACGCUUCUCCAUAUUAAACCCGAUCUCAGAGACGACCACCCGCUGAAUUUAAGCAUAUCAAUAAGCGGAGGAA
RNAcentral lists this ribosomal RNA (570 nucleotides) under uncultured eukaryote. RNAcentral describes it as "eukaryotic LSU rRNA". The stretch from base 173 to 324 matches the Rfam family "5.8S ribosomal RNA". The record is from RNAcentral.